This is a long non-coding RNA of Juglans microcarpa x Juglans regia, 347 nucleotides long. RefSeq lists it as uncharacterized. NCBI's taxonomy places the organism in Eukaryota, Viridiplantae, Streptophyta, Magnoliopsida, Fagales, Juglandaceae. The record is from RefSeq and is a predicted model, not a curated record. The transcript has 2 exons.
GGGUUUAAAAUGAUGCACAAAACAUCGUAGAGCUGUUGAACAGUGGGAGUACGUGAGAUAAUUCAAAUGCGCCCAUGACGGUGCAUGGAGAGAACAGCCGAAAAUGAAGGCGGGGGUGGAUCAGAGAGCAAGAAAAAUCAUGGCGGAAGCAUAAUGAGAGAAUAGAAAGGAGGGGUGACGAGAGGAGAAUGCGUUGUGGACAUGUUGGUCAUUGCCAUAGCUUGAUCAUGAGCAUCGAGUUCCAUUCUUUCUAACCAAAAAAAAAAAAAAAAAGAAGGUAAAACUAAUUGAAGAUUGCAUAAUUUCUUCCAAUGAGUAUGCAAAAGAUAAGCCAGUUAGUUGUCAAA